GAGAAUCCUAAGGCCGGCGGAAGAAUUGCAGUUAAGGAACUAGGCAAAUUGACCCCGUAAGUUCGCGAGAAGGGGUGCCUGUGAGAGCAGGCCGCAGAGAAUAGGCCCAAGCAACUGUUUAGCAAAAACACAGGUCUCUGCUAAAGCGUAAGCUGAUGUAUAGGGGCUGACGCCUGCCCGGUGCUGGAAGGUUAAGGGGAACACUUAGCGCAAGCGAAGGUGUGAACUUAAGCCCCAGUAAACGGCGGCCGUAACAAUAACGGUCCUAAGGUAGCGAAAUUCCUUGUCAGGUAAGUUCUGACCCGCACGAAUGGCGUAAUGACUUGGGCACUGUCUCAACUGCAAAUCCGGCGAAGUUGUAGUGCGAGUGAAGAUGCUCGCUACCCGCGAUUGGACGGAAAGACCCCGUAGAGCUUUACUGUAGCUUAGCAUUGAAUUCCGGUAUUGUCUGUACAGGAUAGGUGGGAGACUGGGAAACUAGGGCGUCAGCCUUAGUGGAGUCAACCUUGGGAUACCACCCUGACAGUACUGGGGUUCUAACAGGACGCCAUGAAACUGGUGACUGGACAUUGUUAGGUGGGCAGUUUGACUGGGGCGGUCGCCUCCUAAAAAGUAACGGAGGCGCCCAAAGGUUCCCUCAGAACGGUCGGAAAUCGUUCGUAGAGUGCAAAGGCAGAAGGGAGCCUGACUGCGAGACCCACAAGUCGAGCAGGGACGAAAGUCGGGCUUAGUGAUCCGGUGGUACCUCGUGGGAGGGCCAUCGCUCAACGGAUAAAAGCUACCUCGGGGAUAACAGGCUGAUCUCCCCCAAGAGUCCACAUCGACGGGGAGGUUUGGCACCUCGAUGUCGGCUCGUCGCAUCCUGGGGCUGUAGUAGGUCCCAAGGGUUGGGCUGUUCGCCCAUUAAAGCGGCACGCGAGCUGGGUUCAGAACGUCGUGAGACAGUUCGGUCCCUAUCCGUCGCGGGCGUAGGAAAUUUGAGAGGAGCUGUCCUUAGUACGAGAGGACCGGGAUGGACUGACCUCUGGUGCACCAGUUGUUCUGCCAAGAGCAUAGCUGGGUAGCUAAGUCGGGAAGGGAUAAACGCUGAAAGCAUCUAAGCGUGAAGCCCCCCUCAAGAUGAGAUUUCCCAUAGCAUAAGCUAGUAAGACCCCUUGAAGAACACAAGGUUGAUAGGUCAGAGGUGGAAGUGCGGUAACGUAUGUAGCUGACUGAUACUAAUAGGUCGAGGGCUUGAUC
This 1239-nucleotide ribosomal RNA is filed under the name metagenome. Its description in RNAcentral is "bacterial LSU rRNA". It matches the Rfam family "Bacterial large subunit ribosomal RNA", at positions 1674 to 2925 of the family's 2925-position model. The record is from RNAcentral.